This 1254-nucleotide long non-coding RNA is filed under the name Homo sapiens (human). Its description in RNAcentral is "HSALNT0037316". Lineage: Eukaryota; Metazoa; Chordata; Mammalia; Primates; Hominidae. The record is from RNAcentral.
GUUUUUACAUGCAGGAAGAGAGAACAAGUGCAGGCAACGUCCAAGGUCCUCUUGUUUUGCAGAUCACUGCACAACAGACCCUCAGGUAGAACAAGUUUAGAUAGUGACUCUUAACCAAAGUACAAGUUAGCAUCACCUGGAAGACUUUACUAACCAUGGUUGGCUGAGAGUCUGUGGGAGCAGAAGAGGAAACUGAGGCUUUAGAGAACUGUAGCACAUUGGCAAGGACAUCCAGCUCAUAAACAAUCCAUCAGAAAAGUGAGGUCACUGAGCAACCCACCACCCAAAACCUGGACAGACAGAGAAAUACAGAAGCAUGGCUUACAGAGAGCAGAAGCAGCUGCUGGAGCCACCAUCUGGUAGAAACACUUCAGGGAUGAGAAAACAGUGACCUGGAGACAGUUAUUUCACCAACAAAGGCAGCCAGCACUUCUCAGUUCCAUCAUACAGAGAACAUUUUGCUGAGAUGACACCAACUUCCAGUUCUUCACAAAGAUGCAGCCCUCAGCCUUCAGCAUGAGAACAGGGACAUCAGCCUGCUUUGCCCAUGGAACUGUCUCCAGAGCCUACAACAAUGCUCAGCCUAUGAGAGGUGUCUCCUAGAAGACUUUCCAUUUCAACAAGCCUCAUUUAUAUGCAACUGGCAAUUUCUCUAAACAGAAGAAAAGGGGAGAUUUUGCCAAUCAAUUGGCUUCACCAUCCCCCAGCCCCAAAGUGUGUUUAAGAACAUUUGCCUGUGCAUGCAUGUGUUUUCCUUUGCAUCCCACAAGAGGAAGGGUCUCGCUCUGUGGCCCAGGCUGGAGAGUAUGGUGCAAUCAAGGCUCACUGCCCCAUGUUCAAGCCAUCCUCCCACCUCAGCCUCCCAGAUAGCUGGGACUAGAGACACACAUCACCACGCAUGGCUCUGGGUUACUUCAAUAAGUAUUUUUCAAUAAAUAUUUCUUCAAUAAAUAUUUAAUAACACAAAGCUCAUGAAAAUUUAUCUCUAUUAUUUCUUGGAAUAUUGUGGCCAAUUUUAGAUGGUCCAAAAUUGUGAUCUUUUCAUUUUUAUUAUAUGCUGGUUUAGAAUAGAAAUUUUCUAAUUAAAAAUAGCAUCAUCAUUAAAAUAUUCUUCUUCUAAGUCAAGAUUAUCCAAAGUAUAGCAAAUGCCAAAAUCAUUUCAUGUAGACUCUCUGAUCUCCCCUCAUCGGAUGUGUUCUCUGCUUCUGUGGUUCUGUAGGAAUAAAGAGCACUCUCUCCCUGUUAGCAAAUUUU